Molecule: long non-coding RNA, 638 nt
Filed under: Fukomys damarensis (Damara mole-rat)
Lineage: Eukaryota; Metazoa; Chordata; Mammalia; Rodentia; Bathyergidae
Description: lncRNA (ENSFDAG00000027866.1)
Source: RNAcentral
CCGAGAUGCUGAGCGAGUUUACCCUUCCUUUGCAGGAUGAGGGAUAGGAGCCGAUCCAGGUCCAGACAAGGCUGGACUGAAAAACGGAGUGGUCAGAGCUUGGCCUCAGGGAUGCCCCCAGUGGCACCCGACUUCCUGUGCUCACAGCUGGAGGGUGGCUCGAGGCUGCCCCAGGCUGCAGCACCAACAGAGAGGCGGAAGGCAGGGAGCAAGGCUCUUUAGGUUCACGGAAGUGGCUUCAUUCUCAUGGAUCUGCACCUCCAAGUGCACCACACAGAGCUCUGCCUUCUGCAGACCGCAGCUCAGAGGCCAGGCUGGUGCUCCAUACCACACGCUCAAUGAUCUGGGUCUAAAGAAGGGGCUCAGUCGUCAGGGCUCGUCCUCAUUUAUUCUGCCUUUUCGGGCCUCAGCCUCUCCGGUCUUGGGGAGUGGGCCCAGGGUCUCUCACAGCUUCAGUAAACGCAUCUUUAAUAUACUGGCUUCACACCAGGCCCUGGGAAAACUGUGUCCUAAUGCCUAUGUUUUAAUACAAAUAAGGUAAUAGAAGUCUUUUAAACAUUAAAAUUAAUAGAGCCAACAGUAAGCGCAUUCCCCAGGACCACCAUUUAUACCCAUUGUCCAGACUUACACACGAGAAC